RNAcentral lists this ribosomal RNA (504 nucleotides) under uncultured Cupriavidus sp. Its description in RNAcentral is "partial 16S ribosomal RNA". Lineage: Bacteria; Pseudomonadati; Pseudomonadota; Betaproteobacteria; Burkholderiales; Burkholderiaceae. The record is from RNAcentral.
CACGUAGUUAGCCGGUGCUUAUUCUUCCGGUACCGUCAUCGACCCCGGGUAUUAGCCAGGGCCAUUUCUUUCCGGACAAAAGUGCUUUACAACCCGAAGGCCUUCUUCACACACGCGGCAUUGCUGGAUCAGGGUUGCCCCCAUUGUCCAAAAUUCCCCACUGCUGCCUCCCGUAGGAGUCUGGGCCGUGUCUCAGUCCCAGUGUGGCUGAUCGUCCUCUCAGACCAGCUACUGAUCGUCGCCUUGGUGAGCUUUUACCCCACCAACUAGCUAAUCAGACAUCGGCCGCUCCUAUUGCGCGAGGCCUUUCGGUCCCCCGCUUUCACCCUCAGGUCGUAUGCGGUAUUAGCUAAUCUUUCGACUAGUUAUCCCCCACAACAGGGCACGUUCCGAUGUAUUACUCACCCGUUCGCCACUCGCCACCAGGAUUGCUCCCGUGCUGCCGUUCGACUUGCAUGUGUAAGGCAUGCCGCCAGCGUUCAAUCUGAGCCAGGAUCAAACUCU